AGUUCAAUUCUGGGGGUCGUCGGAAGCCUUACGUGGCCGGGAUGGUUCGGUGGCUGCUGAGAACUUUCCAAUCCAAUCGGUGGUUGGCGAACUUAACUAAUGCCAACUAACUAACUAACCAACAACAACUGUUAACGAGCCACAAAAGCCUGGCCACAAAAGAUAAGGGCCCAGAUGUUUUCAGGGGUGGCGCAGGGAUUGAUAGAGAGAGCGGAGGCGACGGGGUUGCCAAGAAGCAUUUCUAAUAAAUGAAAGCGAAACUUUAAUGAAAAAGUUACGUUUCAUUAACGUGUGCGUGCGUGUGAGUGUGUUAGCACUGUGAGAAAAUAGGUAUAUAUAGCAAAGAUUAUUCAUUAAAAUGAAGUCACCUGUGCACUGCAAUGAAUUUAAAUCUAGCUAUAUGAUAUUUUUCCAUUUUGAAAACUAGCUUGUUAUAACAAGCAAAACACAAAACACAAAAUCUUCAAAAUCCUAGAUCUAAAUAUUUAUUUGAACUACGUUUUGUUCUCAGUGCAUGUUUGUUCUUAAUAAAUGAGCUAGAGUUGCUGCAAAACUUUCUGUCGCUCUGGUUUGGCACGUUUGCCUUUGUUGCUGGCUUCUGGCUUCCGCCGUCAGACGGUCGUGCGUGCUAAUGAGUAAUAAACCAGCAUUGUUGUUGCCGGGGGUGGGGUUGAGCCAGCCGUAUCAACACCGCCACCCCCAUCCCCACCCCUGCCACACCCGGUGGCCUAGACAAGCGGUAGACUUGAAUGUCAGGCGAACAGACCCAUCGAGCAGCAUUCGCUGUCCCAAAAGAGAGAAUGCGAAACCGGGGUGGGGUGGGUGGAUGAUGGGUUGGUUGGGUUGGGUUGGGUUGGAUGGGUGGCUGGGUGUAGUGUCAGUUGCUGGGGAUGGUAUCUGUGUGGAUGCCCUCUGUUCCGCCUCGGCUUUCGCGUUAAUUAGUUUUGAGCGCUUUCAUUAUGCAGCUUCAUGUGGCAGGCGGACGUGGCGCAUGGACUUUUGUUCGGUGAGUGUGAGGGGGGCGAGGGGGAGUACAGGAUACGCCAUGUCCAUGUCCAUGUCUCUGCUCCGGAGCGAUUCCAUCUUUCGCCAUUUCGCUAAUGAGCUUUUUAGCUGACUAACCAAUUUGGCGUAAUUACAUUUUUCUGAUGCUCAGAUUACUUUUUAAUGGUAUUUCUCGAAAUGCAGCUGUCAGCUACAUGGAAUUUAAAUUUAAAAAAACUGCUCGUUGAAUGUAUCUUUACACUGAAACAAAUACUUUUUUAACUUUUGAGAAAUAAUAAAUAUAUAUGUAUAUAUGGUAUGUAUAACAAAUAUUUUACAGGGAAUAAGGAAACAUAUCAAGGAAAUGUAUUACUUUCAAGACAUUUCUUAGCUUCUAUAACAUAUAUACACAUACAAAAUAAUGACAUAUGUAUGUACAUAUGUACAUAUGUAUAAAAAAAUAAAAAAAAAUUACAGAACCGUUUGUUUUAUUAGUAAAUGCCAUCAUUGGGAAUUGCAUUAAAGAGUAAGUGCAUGGUGGAAAUCAGAGUGAGUAAACCUCAUAUGCAGGGUAUUUCCCAGUCUCAAUUGAGAAACCCCAGAAUCG
This is a non-coding RNA of Drosophila melanogaster (fruit fly), 1591 nucleotides long. Lineage: Eukaryota; Metazoa; Arthropoda; Insecta; Diptera; Drosophilidae. The record is from Ensembl.